This 3338-nucleotide long non-coding RNA is filed under the name Marmota monax (woodchuck). The record is from RNAcentral. Lineage: Eukaryota; Metazoa; Chordata; Mammalia; Rodentia; Sciuridae.
CAGGUCCCCUGCCUUGAUGGAUUAUACCCUUGAGCCCAACCUGACGGUGACGUCCGACUACUACUAUCCUGACACCUUCUCGAGCCCCUGCGAUGGGGAACUUAUCCAGAGAGACAGCAAGUUGCUUCUUGCCAUCAUCUACUGCUUCCUGUUUGUAUUUGGCCUUCUGGGAAACAGCCUGGUUAUCCUGGUCCUUGUGGUCUGCAAGAAGCUGAGGAGCAUCACGGACAUAUACCUCUUGAACUUGGCCUUGUCUGACCUGCUUUUUGUCUUUUCCUUCCCCUUUCAGACCCACUAUCAGCUGGAUCAGUGGGUAUUUGGGACCGUCAUGUGCAAAGUGUUCUCUGGUUUUUAUUACAUUGGCUUCUUCAGCAGCAUGUUCUUCAUCACCCUCAUGAGCAUGGACAGGUACCUGGCUGUUGUCCACGCCGUGUAUGCCAUAAAGGUGAGGACGGUCAGGACGGGCACAGUCCUGAGCCUGGCAGUGUGGCUGAUCACCAUGAUCGCCACUGGCCCAUUGCUAGUAUUUUACCAGGUGGCCUCUGAAGAUGGUGUUCUCCAGUGUUAUUCAUUUUACAAUCAACAGACAUUGAAGUGGAAGAUCUUCAUCCACUUUGAAAUAAACAUCUUAGGCUUGUUGAUCCCAUUCGCCAUCCUCCUGUUCUGCUAUGCCAGGAUCCUGCACCAGCUAAAGACUUGCCAAAACCACAACAAGACCAAGGCCAUCAAGUUGGUGCUUAUUGUGGUCGUUGCAUCUUUACUCUUCUGGGUCCCAUUCAACGUGGUCCUCUUCCUCACGUCCCUGCACGACAUGCACGUCUUGGAUGGGUGCAUCCUGAACCAGCAGCUGAUUUAUGCCACCCAUGUCACAGAAACCAUUUCCUUCACUCACUGCUGUGUGAACCCUGUUAUCUAUGCUUUCAUGGGUGAGAAGUUCAAGAAAUGCCUCUCAGAAAUAUUUCAGAAAAUUUUCAGCUACAUUUUCCCCUCCAUGGGAAGACAGAUGCCCAGGGAGGGGUGGGAAAGGCGGUCAUCUUCCCACCCUAUGGCCUCCCGCUCCUCCAGCAUAGACUACAUUUUGUAAGGGGGGGGCGUGCCUCCAAGUGUCCUCUGCCUUCAUUGCCACUUUUCUCUAAAGAAAUAAAAAUGACUUCCGUGGGGGCUGUGAAGCCAUGUAGGAAAACUCUUAGGAACUUUGGUUUAAGAUACAGACAUAUUUUAUAUAUUUAAUCCAUUCCUACUAUUGCAAGUUAAUCUCAACUUUCAAAAACAUUGGUACUAUUCUGGAAAUAUUCUACAUAUUCCACUUUUUUUAUUUUUUAGCUUUAGGAGGAUGCAAUAUCUUUAUUUUAUGUUUAUGUGGUGCUGAGGAUUGAACCCAGUGCCUCAUGCAUGCUAGGAGGGCACUCUACUGCUAAGCCACAACCCCAGCCCCUCGACUACUAAUUUUAAUGCUAGCAGUAGGGUAUUUUUUUAAAAAAAAUAUUCUUAAUCCGGUGCAGUGGUGCACACCUGUAAUCCCAGCUACUUAGGAGACUGAGGCAGGAGGGUCACAAGUUUGAGGCCAGCCUCAGCAACUUAGCAAGAACUUGUCUCAAGAGACAAAACAAACCAACGCCUUCCACAAAACCAAACCAUAAUCUUGAUAUUGAAGAACUUCUAUUCUUGCUUCUUUGAUGUCUUUAUUAGGCACAAAUUUAAAUGUUAUCAAAUCCCUUUUUCUUAUCUAUUGAUGUAACCAUAUAAUUUUCCACCACUGUUAAUUUGGUUUAUUACACUGAUUUUAGUAUCUUAAGUCAACCUACAUUUUUCCUGAAAAAUUAAAAAUGACCCUUUGGUCUUGGGAUUCUUAUAUCUGUGUUCAUUAGUCUUGAAGUUUCCUUUCUUUUCAUGACCUGGUCAUAUUUGGCCUCUUAAAAUGUAUUGGGAAGUAUGCCCCUUUUCUCCAGUUUCUGAAACACUUUGUGUACAAAUUUGAUAUGAUGUCCUCCUUGAAUGUUUGGUAGAAUUCACCAAUGAAUUUAUCUGGGGUUCCUCUCCAGGAGAAUUUCAAAUUAUGCACACAUGUUCGGUGACAGUCUAUUCAGUUUCCCCUCCCUUCCUUCUCUUUUUUCUAUCACCAGCCCUUUCCAUUUUUAUAUCGUGAGACAGGGUCUUACCAAGAUUCCAAGGCUGGCCUUGAACUUGCAAUCCUCUUGACUCCUUCUCCCAAGUUGCUGAGAUUACAGGCAUGCCUGGAUAGACUAUUCAGAUUUUCUAGUUUUGCUUGUCUCAGUUUUGAAAAGUUGUGAUUUCAUUUUAUUUGUCAAGUCUACUAGCAUUAUACUGUCCUUAAUAUUUUCUCAUUACCUUUUAAAUACAUGAGGAGCUAAGUAAUGUCCCUUUUCAGCCCUGACACUGACAACUAGUGUUCUCUUUCUCUUUUAGAUCAGUCUUUGGGGCUUAUCAGUUGUAUUAAUCGUUUAAAAGAACCAGCUUUGGCUUUGUUGGUUUCCUGCCUCAUCUGUUCAUUGAUUUCUGCUCUUAUCUUCAUCUUUUUUGCUUUCUUUGAGCUUAAUUUACUGUUUUAUAUUAGUUUCUUGAAAUAAAACCUUCCAUCAUUAAUUGCCAAUUGUUGUUCAUAUAUUUAAAUCUACAAGCUGAGUGCAGUGGUGCAUGCCUAUAAUCCCAGCGGUCUGGGAGGUUGAGGCAGGAGGAUUGUGAGUCAGUCUCAGCAACUUAGUGAGGCCCUAAGCAAUUCUGUUUCUAAAUAAAAUUUAAAAGGGGCUGGGGAUGUUGUUCAGUGGUAAAACACUCCUGGGUUCAAUACCCAAUACAACAACAACAAAAAAUCUACAAAAUUCCCUUAAAGCACUGCCUUAGGUGUAUCGUGUACAUUUUAAUGUAAUAGAUCUUCAUUAUUUUUUCAGUUUAAAUUAUUUUCUAUUUUCCAUUAUGUUCUCCUGCUUAUAAUCAUGAGUUACUUAGAAAUUAAUUUUAAAUUUUGAAACAUAUGCAGACUCUAUAUAUGUGUACACUUUCAGUUAUUUGAAAUUUGUUGAGAAUUAUUUUAUGAUGCAAGAUUUGGUUUGUUUCAAUAAGUGUUGCAUUACACUUAAAAAGAAUGGCCAUAGUAGGGAGGGAAAGGGGGUCAUGAACUGAAAUCAAUUUCCAUGCAUGUAUGAGUUUAUUGGGACGAAACCAACUACUAUGUUUAAAUAUAAAGCUCUGAGGGAAAAAAGAAAGAAAAAGAAUGGUUGUAUUCUGAAGUUGUUGUCCAUAGCUGAUUAAUUAGAUUGUUCAAGACUUCUAUACUCUUGCAGGCUUUUUCUUUUGCUUACUCUGUGAGUAACUAAGAG